GCGAGGGGAGUGAAAAAGAACCUGAAACCGUGUACGUACAAGCAGUGGGAGCCCCACCACCAAAGCAUUCUCUGGUGUUGAAGGCCCUGCAAAGCAGCAUCGCGGUGGCGGAGCGUCGUUUGCGACGCCCAACACACAAAACAAGCGGUGAGUGCUUUGGGGUGGGGUGACUGCGUACCUUUUGUAUAAUGGGUCAGCGACUUAUAUUCUGUAGCAAGGUUAACCGAAUAGGGGAGCCG
This 239-nucleotide ribosomal RNA is filed under the name Salmonella enterica. RNAcentral describes it as "partial 23S ribosomal RNA". It matches the Rfam family "Bacterial large subunit ribosomal RNA", at positions 529 to 668 of the family's 2925-position model. RNAcentral also lists the same sequence under 1 other name. Lineage: Bacteria; Pseudomonadati; Pseudomonadota; Gammaproteobacteria; Enterobacterales; Enterobacteriaceae. The record is from RNAcentral.